CUACUGACUGACCGAUAGUGAACUAGUACCGUGAGGGAAAGGCGAAAAGAACCCCGGAGAGGGGAGUGAAAUAGAUCCUGAAACCGUAUGCGUACAAGCAGUGGGAGCCCACUUUGUUGGGUGACUGCGUACCUUUUGUAUAAUGGGUCAGCGACUUAUUUUCAGUGGCGAGCUUAACCGAAUAGGGGAGGCGUAGCGAAAGCGAG
RNAcentral lists this ribosomal RNA (206 nucleotides) under Pseudomonas sp. ICMP 460. Its description in RNAcentral is "partial 23S ribosomal RNA". It matches the Rfam family "Bacterial large subunit ribosomal RNA", at positions 473 to 681 of the family's 2925-position model. The record is from RNAcentral. Lineage: Bacteria; Pseudomonadati; Pseudomonadota; Gammaproteobacteria; Pseudomonadales; Pseudomonadaceae.